This 69-nucleotide transfer RNA is filed under the name Percilia irwini. RNAcentral describes it as "tRNA-Phe". The record is from RNAcentral. Lineage: Eukaryota; Metazoa; Chordata; Actinopteri; Centrarchiformes; Percichthyidae.
GCAAGCGUAGCUUAAGUCAAAAGCUUAAUACUGAAGAUGUUAGGAUGGGCUCUAGAAUGCCCGCGAGCA